UUUUGGGACGAUAAAAAGGGGACCCAUCUGCGACUCUUGGUGAAAAUCCCAGCCCACUUUGACCUCUUUUUUUUAAAACCCACUUUGCGCCCUGGGGUUCUCCCGGGGGCCACGUCUGUCUGAGG
Molecule: ribosomal RNA, 125 nt
Filed under: Peucetia viridana
Lineage: Eukaryota; Metazoa; Arthropoda; Arachnida; Araneae; Oxyopidae
Description: partial 5.8S ribosomal RNA
Source: RNAcentral